AACGAACGCUGGCGGCAUGCCUAACACAUGCAAGUCGAACGAAACCUUCGGGUCUAGUGGCUCACGUGUGCGUAACCCGUGGGAACCUGCCCUUAUGUUCGGCCUACCUUCCCGAAAGGGGUGCUACUACCGGAUAAUUUCUUCGGCCCAAUGAUUUAUCGCGUUUGGUGGGGCCCGCUUUGGAUACGCUAGUUGCUAGGGUAAAAGCCUACCAAGGCGACGAUCCAUAUCUGGUCUGAGAGGAAGAGCAGCCACACUGGGACUGAGACGCGGCCCAGACUCCUACGGGAGGCAGGAGUGGGGAAUAUUGGAAAGUGGGCGAAAGGAUGAAGCAGCAAGGCUGGGUGAGUGAUGAAGGCAUUAGAGAAGUAAAGAUCUUUUAACCGGGAUGAUAAUGACAGUACCGGGAGAAUAAGCUACGGCUAACUCCGUG
Molecule: ribosomal RNA, 433 nt
Filed under: uncultured bacterium
Lineage: Bacteria
Description: partial 16S ribosomal RNA
Rfam family: Bacterial small subunit ribosomal RNA
Source: RNAcentral